GCCAAGGCUUUGUUUGGCAGUAAUUGGUGGAUGUAAAAAUUGGAGGAAGGCACAGGAAGUGACACAAAGGAAUGUGCCUUUAAAAAGGAGUUACAACUUCCAGUGGGAGAGAAUUUUGUCUGAGAUCUUCAGAGAGGACUUCAGCUUCUUCUGGAGUUCUGAGUUUGAGUUGGAGGCUGGUGAAGAAUCUGCUUACUGGACCUGAGACCUUGAACUUGUUGUGACUGUUCUUAAAUGUCUCCCUUUCGACUGACACAUGGCACUGUGUUAAAUGAUGUGGCUCUAAAGAAGAAGGUCCUGGCCGUCAGGUGUUUACUUUCUAAAAGAUCAUUCCCCCAUCAGAAACCAGGCAUCCCAAUGGAUAGAGCCCUUGGCCUGGAGUCAAGGAAAUGAGCUCAAGUCCAGCCUUGGACAUUUAUUGGCUGCAAGAUCCUGGACAAGUCACCUAACUUCUGCUUUCCUGAGUUUUCUCAACUGUAAAAUGGGGAUAAUAGCAGCAUCAACUUUCAUGGUUGUUGUGAAGAUUAAAUGACACAACAUUUGUAAAGCACUUAUCAAAAUGCCUGGC
RNAcentral lists this long non-coding RNA (568 nucleotides) under Monodelphis domestica (gray short-tailed opossum). RNAcentral describes it as "lncRNA (ENSMODG00000031699.2)". Lineage: Eukaryota; Metazoa; Chordata; Mammalia; Didelphimorphia; Didelphidae. The record is from RNAcentral.